Molecule: ribosomal RNA, 468 nt
Filed under: uncultured bacterium
Lineage: Bacteria
Description: partial 16S ribosomal RNA
Rfam family: Bacterial small subunit ribosomal RNA
Source: RNAcentral
GACGAACGCUGGCGGCGUGCUUAACACAUGCAAGUCGAACGGAAAGGCCCUGCUUUUGUGGGGUGCUCGAGUGGCGAACGGGUGAGUAACAAGUGAGUAACCUGCCCUUGACUUUGGGAUAACUUCAGGAAACUGGGGCUAAUACCGGAUAGGAGCUCCUGCUGCAUGGUGGGGGUUGGAAAGUUUCGGCGGUUGGGGAUGGACUCGCGGCUUAUCAGCUUGUUGGUGGGGUAGUGGCUUACCAAGGCUUUGACGGGUAGCCGGCCUGAGAGGGUGACCGGCCACAUUGGGACUGAGAUACGGCCCAGACUCCUACGGGGGGCAGCAGGGGGGAAUAUUGCACAAUGGGCGGAAGCCUAAUGCAGCAACGCCGCGUGCGGGAUGACGGCCUGCGGGUUGUAAACCGCGUUCGCCUGUGACGAAGCGUGAGUGACGGUAAUGGGUAAAGAAGCACCGGCUAACUACGUG